Molecule: small nuclear RNA, 106 nt
Organism: Neomonachus schauinslandi (Hawaiian monk seal)
Lineage: Eukaryota; Metazoa; Chordata; Mammalia; Carnivora; Phocidae
Source: RefSeq, a predicted model, not a curated record
GUGCUCACUUCGGCAGCACAUGUACUAAAAUUGGAAUGAUACAGAGAAAAUUAGCAUGGCCCUGUGCAAAGAUGAGAUGCAAAUUCAUAUAGUGUUCCGUAUUUAA